Molecule: ribosomal RNA, 598 nt
Filed under: Plectosphaerella cucumerina
Lineage: Eukaryota; Fungi; Ascomycota; Sordariomycetes; Glomerellales; Plectosphaerellaceae
Description: partial large subunit ribosomal RNA
Rfam family: Eukaryotic large subunit ribosomal RNA
Source: RNAcentral
ACACCGGGUCUUGCCUCAGUACGGCGAGUGAAGCGGCAACAGCUCAAAUUUGAAAUCUGGCUCCUUCGGGGCCCGAGUUGUAAUUUGCAGAGGAUGCGUCGGGUACGGGUGCCUUCCGAGUUCCCUGGAACGGGACGCCAUAGAGGGUGAGAGCCCCGUCUGGUAGGAUACCCAGCCCGUGUGACGCUCCCUCGACGAGUCGAGUAGUUUGGGAAUGCUGCUCUAACGGGAGGUAUACUCCUUCCAAGGCUAAAUACCGGCUGGAGACCGAUAGCGCACAAGUAGAGUGAUCGAAAGAUGAAAAGCACUUUGAAAAGAGAGUCAAACAGCACGUGAAAUUGUUAAAAGGGAAGCGCUCGCUACCAGACUUGGGUUCGGCGGUUCAACCGGGGCCACGCCCCGGGGCAUUCCGCCGGCCCAGGCCAGCAUCAGCUUUCCGUCGGGGGUAAAGGCGUCGGGAAUGUGGCUCCCCUUCGGGGGAGUGUUAUAGCCCGUCGUGUCAUACCCUUCGGGGGGCUGAGGUACGCGCUUCUGCAAGGAUGCUGGCGUAAUGGUAGCUAGUGACCCGUCUUAAAAACCGGAACCAAAUAUAUACCGA